UGCCUCGUAGUUAAACUGGAUAUAACGGGUGCCUCCUAAGCGCCAGUCGUGAGUUCGAGUCUCGCCGGGGCAGCCA
RNAcentral lists this transfer RNA (76 nucleotides) under Rheinheimera tilapiae. RNAcentral describes it as "tRNA-Arg". It matches the Rfam family "tRNA". Rfam says of the family: Transfer RNA (tRNA) molecules are approximately 80 nucleotides in length. Their secondary structure includes four short double-helical elements and three loops (D, anti-codon, and T loops). Further hydrogen bonds mediate the characteristic L-shaped molecular structure. tRNAs have two regions of fundamental functional importance: the anti-codon, which is responsible for specific mRNA codon recognition, and the 3' end, to which the tRNAs corresponding amino acid is attached (by aminoacyl-tRNA synthetases). tRNAs cope with the degeneracy of the genetic code in two manners: having more than one tRNA (with a specific anti-codon) for a particular amino acid; and 'wobble' base-pairing, i.e. permitting non-standard base-pairing at the 3rd anti-codon position. RNAcentral also lists the same sequence under 3 other names. Lineage: Bacteria; Pseudomonadati; Pseudomonadota; Gammaproteobacteria; Chromatiales; Chromatiaceae. The record is from RNAcentral.